GUGCCAGCCGCCGCGGUAAUACGAAGGGUGCAAACGUUGCUCGGAAUCAUUGGGCGUAAAGCGCACGUAGGCGGCCCUGUAAGUCGGAUGUGAAAUCCCUCGGCUCAACCGAGGACGUGCAUCCGAAACUGCAGAGCUCGAGUAUGGAAGAGGGUCGCGGAAUUCCCGGUGUAGAGGUGAAAUUCGUAGAUAUCGGGAGGAACACCAGUGGCGAAGGCGGCGACCUGGGCCAAUACUGACGCUGAGGUGCGAAAGCGUGGGGAGCAAACAGGAUUAGAAACCCCAGUAGUCC
Molecule: ribosomal RNA, 292 nt
Filed under: uncultured bacterium
Lineage: Bacteria
Description: partial 16S ribosomal RNA
Rfam family: Bacterial small subunit ribosomal RNA
Source: RNAcentral